GCAUAUCUCAAGACCCCUAUGCUGGCCCAAUGUUUUCAUCUUAUCAGGGCGCAGUCCUAUCCAAGGUACCUCUGGAGCCACCUUAUAAUCUUACUAUCAAAAGGGGGAAGGGGGGGUGGGACUUAGAAACCAAUCGAGCAACACCAAAGGCUUCGGGACUCCUGUGUGUAGCUAGUUAUUAAGACACUUAAGAACUCUCGUCCUGGGGCUGGUGAGAUGGCUCAGUGGGUAAGAGCACCCGACUGCUCUUCCGAAGGUCUAGAGUUCAAAUCCCAGCAACCACAUGGUGGCUCACAACCAUCUGUAAUGAGAUCUGACUCCCUCUUCUGGUGUGUCUGAAGACAGCUACAGUGUACUUACAUAUAAUAAAUAAAUAAAUCUUUAAAAAAAAAAAAAGAACUCUCGUCCUUGGAGAAGCCCACAGCCCAGCUCUCUGGUGUGUCUUACUCUUUCCCUGAGCACCUCUUAACCCCUGUAACUUAAAUUUAUAUUUAAAAUAUUUUAAAUAAACGUUUAACUCUCUGCUUU
RNAcentral lists this long non-coding RNA (528 nucleotides) under Mus musculus (house mouse). Its description in RNAcentral is "long non-coding RNA chr14:69695305-69695833". The record is from RNAcentral. Lineage: Eukaryota; Metazoa; Chordata; Mammalia; Rodentia; Muridae.